AUAUAAUCGAGGUUCUACUUUAAAAUCUCAGAAAAGAAAGAUGUAAACAAGAUAUUCGCCUUCGCCAUUGAAAGACGUUCUUCUAACGUGAAACGAUGAGAAAUGGAAUCGGUAAAAAAGAACAGAUGAAAAAUCGAUAUCUCCUCGACAUUUUGACUAAACGUGGACCCUGUUAAGGUGCAAGAAACACACGAACGUCCUCGAAGACGUAAAAGCUCGUACCCAUCCUAACCCCAUGUAUCUUUCUGGUCGACAAUAAUUUCAGCGCAAGCUACGCAAUCGGUUAAAUCGCUUAGUCUAUGCCGUUUACGGGCUGUAGUCUUAUUCGGUACUCGACCGUUUUCUUUUUACUUGCUAACGUUCGUAUAAUACGAUCUAAGCCAAACACGAACACACCACCGCCAGGAAGUCAGCCAGAAUUGGGACGCAAUCAGAGCUUUUAUGGAAGCCUUGAGCAAAUCUGCCUGCCAGUUAUUCCCGAUAUCCCAUUUUUCUCGAUUACCCCGCCGGCAGUAUGGUCAAUCGUAUUUUUCAAUCUACUACAUUUGCGGAGCAAAAGAACACGUUUCUACGGAUUCUUCCUUUGGGAAUUUCAACGGGGUAAUGCCUACAAAGAGCUUUGCCGAUACAUAUAAUAUAAGACGAAGGAACUUUGUGAAGGACCGGCUAAUUGACGUUGGAGCUCGUCAACUUGUGUCACAUAUUCUUCGCAACGUGCGGCAAACAUCGCACGCAAACCUGAGAAGUGUGGUUAGCAGGUAUUAACACCAGAUACGAAGAAGCACCAUAAAGGUAAAUAUCGAAAGCAUGAUAAAGAAUUAAGAAAUAAUGCGUUAGUUAUAUGCAAACGGAAAAAUUGUUCGUAAAAAUUAACGUAAUGAAUAUGUAGAUUUAAGAACUAUUUUAAGUAUUACAAAGCGAUCAAAGCAUAGGAAACUCUUCCUCUAAUUGUAAUAGAUAUUAAUGACCAUUCUUUUAGUAAAUACAGCCAAUUUUAGAAAAAAAGAACAUUAUUUACAUGUUAAGGUAGUAAGUAUAUUAUUAAGAUAAUAAGUAUUGUUUACAUAUUAAUAUAUAUUUUUGCUAUGAAAUAAAACAGUAUUGUUGAUAGCAAACUCUUAAUGCCACUGCAAAAUCAAUUGUAGUGCAACUCAUUACAAGCAAUAAAAUGUACACAAAUGCUGAUAAUCGCGAUUAGUUUUACGUUAAUAAGUUAAUAUACAAAUGUUAGAAACACAAAAAAUAGAAAAAAAGGAUAAAUUAACUAUAUUCUCAAGUGUCAUCUUAAGUAUUAUUACUCUAAACAUAAUGUAUACAUUGUUACAAACUUGAAUAAACUUCAUAAUCAACUUACUUGAGAAUGUUGCAGCAUUUUCUUUUAACAUUCUAAGCUCAUUCCUCAGUUUCAACAUAGUCUCAUUAACGAUACUCUUCUCAUUUUCAUAUUUGCCCUUCAAAUUCGUAAGUGCUACUUCUGCGGUAUUCUUGUUCGAUUUAAGCACCGUUCUCAAAGUCGCGAUUUGCUCGCGUUUAGCCGAUAACAAGGCCUUCAAUCUAAUUACUUGUUCUUGUAAAUCUGCUACUUCCGCCUUGUUCUCAUUCACUGAACCUGUGAUUUGCAAUGAAGAAACGGUAUAUUAUAAAUUAUGCGUCAAUUGAAUAA
RNAcentral lists this unclassified non-coding RNA (1663 nucleotides) under Bombus terrestris (buff-tailed bumblebee). RNAcentral's name for it is "misc RNA ENSBTSG00005024053.1". The record is from RNAcentral. Lineage: Eukaryota; Metazoa; Arthropoda; Insecta; Hymenoptera; Apidae.